Molecule: non-coding RNA, 224 nt
Organism: Arvicanthis niloticus (Nile rat)
Lineage: Eukaryota; Metazoa; Chordata; Mammalia; Rodentia; Muridae
Source: RefSeq, a predicted model, not a curated record
CCACCAGCCAAAAGAAGGAAGGUGUUUAUGAUGUGCCAAAAAGUCAACCUGUAAGUGCUGUGACCCAAUUAGAACUUUUUGGAGACAUGUCCACCCCUCCUGAUAUAACUUCUCCCCCUACUCCUGCAACCCCAGGUGAUGCCUUUCUCCCGUCGUCAUCCCAGACGCUUCCGGGGAGUGCAGAUGUGUUUGGCUCUAUGUCUUUUGGCACUGCUGCCGUACCC